GGGGCAUAGUUCAGUGGUAGACCACUUGCCUAGCAUGUAAGAAGCCCUGGGUUUGAUCCCCAGCACCACCA
Molecule: transfer RNA, 71 nt
Filed under: Marmota monax (woodchuck)
Lineage: Eukaryota; Metazoa; Chordata; Mammalia; Rodentia; Sciuridae
Description: tRNA.Ala
Rfam family: tRNA
About the family: Transfer RNA (tRNA) molecules are approximately 80 nucleotides in length. Their secondary structure includes four short double-helical elements and three loops (D, anti-codon, and T loops).
Source: RNAcentral